Molecule: ribosomal RNA, 520 nt
Filed under: uncultured Glomus
Lineage: Eukaryota; Fungi; Glomeromycota; Glomeromycetes; Glomerales; Glomeraceae
Description: SSU rRNA
Rfam family: Eukaryotic small subunit ribosomal RNA
Source: RNAcentral
AGCAGCCGCGGUAAUUCCAGCUCCAAUAGCGUAUAUUAAAGUUGUUGCAGUUAAAAGCUCGUAGUUGAAUUUCGGGGUUAGUAGGUUGGUCAUGCCUCUGGUAUGUACUGGUCUCACUGAUUCCUCCUUCCUGAUGAACCUUAAUGCCAUUAAUUUGGUGUUUUGGGGAAUUUGGACUGUUACUUUGAAAAAUUAGAGUGUUUAAAGCAAGCUAACGCUUGAAUACAUUAGCAUGGAAUAAUGAAAUAGGACGUUCGAUCCUAUUUUGUUGGUUUCUAGGAUUGACGUAAUGAUUAAUAGGGAUAGUUGGGGGCAUUAGUAUUCAAUUGUCAGAGGUGAAAUUCUUGGAUUUAUUGAAGACUAACUACUGCGAAAGCAUUUGCCAAGGAUGUUUUCAUUAAUCAAGAACGAAAGUUAGGGGAUCGAAGACGAUCAGAUACCGUCGUAGUCUUAACCAUAAACUAUGCCGACUAGGGAUCGGAUGAUGUUAAUUUUUUAAUGACUCAUUCGGCGCCUUACG